Molecule: ribosomal RNA, 330 nt
Filed under: Triticum aestivum (bread wheat)
Lineage: Eukaryota; Viridiplantae; Streptophyta; Magnoliopsida; Poales; Poaceae
Description: partial small subunit ribosomal RNA
Source: RNAcentral
AUGGCGCCAGGGUUCACCAAAUUUGAUGUGGAGAAAUUCGAUGGCACGGGUAACUUCGGUCUAUGGCAGACAAGAGUUAAGGAUAUUCUGGCGCAGCAGGGAAUCUUGAAGGGUUUGCAGGAGACGAAGCCAGCCAAGGUUGACAACGCUGCGUGGGAGGAUAUGCAAGUGCAGGCGGCCGCUACCAUACGGCUUUGUCUUGCGGAUCAGGUCAUGUAUCAUGUCAUGGACGAAGAUACUCCAAAGGGAAUUUGGGACAAGUUGGCAAAUCGUUAUAUGUUCAAGUCGGCGACCAACAUGCUGUAUUUGAAGCAAAAGUUCUAUGGCUAA